GACAGAGGGUGCAAACGUUGCUCGGAAUUACUGGGCGUAAAGCGCGUGUAGGCGGUCUCGCGAGUCGGGUGUGAAAGCCCGGGGCUCAACCCCGGACGUGCAUUCGAUACUACGAGGCUGGAGUACUGUAGAGGAGAGCGGAAUUCCCGGUGUAGAGGUGAAAUUCGUAGAUAUCGGGAGGAACACCAGUGGCGAAGGGCGGCUCUCCUGGACAGUGACUGACGCUGAGACGCGAAAGCGUGGGUAGCAAACAGG
Molecule: ribosomal RNA, 255 nt
Filed under: uncultured bacterium
Lineage: Bacteria
Description: partial 16S ribosomal RNA
Rfam family: Bacterial small subunit ribosomal RNA
Source: RNAcentral